CCAAUAGCGUAUAUUAAAGUUGUUGCAGUUAAAAAGCUCGUAGUUGAACUUCGGGGUUUACCCAUUGGUCAGGCUUAAUUGUCUGUACUGGUGAGAUAAAUCUCUACCUUCUGAGGAACUUUCAUGUCAUUAAUUUGGUGUGAUUGGAAAUCAGGACUGUUACUUUGAAAAAAUUAGAGUGUUUAAAGCAGGCUAACGUCUGAAUACAUUAGCAUGGAAUAAUGAAAUAGGACGGACUGAUUCUAUUUCGUUGGUUUCUAGGAUCACCGUAAUGAUUAAUAGGGAUAUUUGGGGGCAUUAGUAUUCAAUUGUCAGAGGUGAAAUUCUUGGAUUUAUUGAAGACUAACUACUGCGAAAGCAUUUGCCAAGGAUGUUUUCAUUAAUCAAGAACGAAAGUUAGGGGAUCGAAGACGAUCAGAUACCGUCGUAGUCUUAACCAUAAACUAUGCCGACUAGGGAUCGGACGAAGUUAAUUUUAUAAUGACGCGUUCGGCACCUUACG
Molecule: unclassified non-coding RNA, 502 nt
Filed under: uncultured Diversispora
Lineage: Eukaryota; Fungi; Glomeromycota; Glomeromycetes; Diversisporales; Diversisporaceae
Description: SSU rRNA
Rfam family: Eukaryotic small subunit ribosomal RNA
Source: RNAcentral